UACGUAGGGCGCAAGCGUUGUCCGGAAUUAUUGGGCGUAAAGAGCUCGUAGGCGGCCUGUUGCGUCCGCUGUGAAAUCCCGGGGCUCAACCCCGGGCCUGCAGUGGAUACGGGCUGGCUGGAGGCAGGCAGGGGAGAACGGAAUUCCUGGUGUAGCGGUGAAAUGCGCAGAUACCAGGAGGAACACCGGUGGCGAAGGCGGUUCUCUGGGCCUGUUCUGACGCUGAGGAGCGAAAGCGUGGGGAGCGAACAGG
This 253-nucleotide ribosomal RNA is filed under the name uncultured bacterium. Its description in RNAcentral is "partial 16S ribosomal RNA". It matches the Rfam family "Bacterial small subunit ribosomal RNA", at positions 524 to 776 of the family's 1533-position model. The record is from RNAcentral.